RNAcentral lists this ribosomal RNA (236 nucleotides) under uncultured Candidatus Saccharibacteria bacterium. RNAcentral describes it as "partial 16S ribosomal RNA". It matches the Rfam family "Bacterial small subunit ribosomal RNA", at positions 584 to 818 of the family's 1533-position model. The record is from RNAcentral. Lineage: Bacteria; Candidatus Saccharimonadota.
UAAGUGGAUAGUGAAACCUGGUGGCUCAACCAUUCAGACUAUUAUCCAAACUGGCAAGCUCGAGAAUGGUAGAGGUAGUUGGAAUUUCUAGUGUAGGAGUGAAAUCCGUAGAUAUUAGAAGGAACACCAAUGGCGUAGGCAGACUACUGGACCAUUUCUGACGCUAAGGCACGAAAGCGUGGGGAGCGAACCGGAUUAGAUACCCGGGUAGUCCACGCCGUAAACGAUGGAUGCUA